AGCUCCAAUAGCGUAUAUUAAAGUUGUUGCAGUUAAAAGCUCGUAGUUGAACUUCUGGCGGCUACAUGCGCUGGCUACUAGUCGCGUAUGGAGUCGUCAUCCGCCCGAGAACCAAAACCGUCAUUCAUUUGUCGAUUUGGGGAUCUGGCUCUUUACUUUGAAAAAAAUUAGAGUGUUCAAGGCAGGCAAUCGCCCUGAAUGCACAAGCAUGGAAUAAUGGAAUAGGACUAUGGUUCAUUUUAUUGGUUAAUGAACCUUAGUAAUGAUUAAUAGGGACAGUUGGGGGCAUUAGUAUUUAAUUGUC
RNAcentral lists this ribosomal RNA (304 nucleotides) under uncultured eukaryote. RNAcentral describes it as "SSU rRNA". It matches the Rfam family "Eukaryotic small subunit ribosomal RNA", at positions 587 to 906 of the family's 1831-position model. The record is from RNAcentral.